GCCGGGAUAGCUCAGGUGGUAGAGCAGAAGACUGAAAAUCUUCGUGUCGUCGGUUCGACUCCGUCUCCCGGCACCA
RNAcentral lists this transfer RNA (76 nucleotides) under bacterium. Its description in RNAcentral is "tRNA-Phe". It matches the Rfam family "tRNA". Rfam says of the family: Transfer RNA (tRNA) molecules are approximately 80 nucleotides in length. Their secondary structure includes four short double-helical elements and three loops (D, anti-codon, and T loops). Further hydrogen bonds mediate the characteristic L-shaped molecular structure. tRNAs have two regions of fundamental functional importance: the anti-codon, which is responsible for specific mRNA codon recognition, and the 3' end, to which the tRNAs corresponding amino acid is attached (by aminoacyl-tRNA synthetases). tRNAs cope with the degeneracy of the genetic code in two manners: having more than one tRNA (with a specific anti-codon) for a particular amino acid; and 'wobble' base-pairing, i.e. permitting non-standard base-pairing at the 3rd anti-codon position. The record is from RNAcentral.